This 512-nucleotide ribosomal RNA is filed under the name Klebsiella pneumoniae. RNAcentral's name for it is "partial 23S ribosomal RNA". It matches the Rfam family "Bacterial large subunit ribosomal RNA", at positions 2312 to 2823 of the family's 2925-position model. The record is from RNAcentral. Lineage: Bacteria; Pseudomonadati; Pseudomonadota; Gammaproteobacteria; Enterobacterales; Enterobacteriaceae.
GAAGGUUAGCUAAUCCUGGUCGGACAUCAGGAGGUUAGUGCAAUGGCAUAAGCUAGCUUGACUGCGAGCGUGACGGCGCGAGCAGGUGCGAAAGCAGGUCAUAGUGAUCCGGUGGUUCUGAAUGGAAGGGCCAUCGCUCAACGGAUAAAAGGUACUCCGGGGAUAACAGGCUGAUACCGCCCAAGAGUUCAUAUCGACGGCGGUGUUUGGCACCUCGAUGUCGGCUCAUCACAUCCUGGGGCUGAAGUAGGUCCCAAGGGUAUGGCUGUUCGCCAUUUAAAGUGGUACGCGAGCUGGGUUUAGAACGUCGUGAGACAGUUCGGUCCCUAUCUGCCGUGGGCGCUGGAGAAUUGAGGGGGGCUGCUCCUAGUACGAGAGGACCGGAGUGGACGCAUCACUGGUGUUCGGGUUGUCAUGCCAAUGGCACUGCCCGGUAGCUAAAUGCGGAAGAGAUAAGUGCUGAAAGCAUCUAAGCACGAAACUUGCCCCGAGAUGAGUUCUCCCUGAGACUU